GGGGGUUUCGUUGAUAUUGAGUCGACUAUAAACAACUCAUCUUGCUUGGAACCGUCGUUGUGUAUGGGAAAGGGGGGUUCUACCUAUGCUUGGAAAAGGGUGAAUGGUCCCAAAAGGGACGGGAUAAAACCCACUAGAAAGAACGGGGGGUCAUCCACUCCGUCGCUGGGUAGUCAACUUUAUCCGUGACUCUGAGUACAAGAUUUCCGGGAUCAAGAAACUCGCAAACAAAUAUGCUCGGCUGGACUCUUUUCUCGUAUGCCCGUAAAAUAAAAUUGCGGUACAACUCAGCUUGCUGCAAAGCCUUUCUUUCUCGUCCAAACACUCCAGAUCUGCACUUCCCUUUUCUCCAUAGGGCCGAAGCUUUACUAAAAAGGGCUUUUUUUUAGAGAGAGCGUAAGGGGCGAUCUAUAUUGCUUGCCACAGCUCUAUUCCCGACUCUAAAUCCAUAAAGGACUUUAAGAGAGGAUGAACAUUCCCAUUCUAUAGGUGGCACUGCCCCUAUUAGAGAAGGUUGAAGCUAGACUUUUGAUUAGAGGUUCAAGGGAGAACUGCGAGGAGAAUCGAGAUUGGCGCUUA
This 579-nucleotide long non-coding RNA is filed under the name Trifolium pratense (red clover). RNAcentral's name for it is "long non-coding RNA (TPRA_LNC010534)". Lineage: Eukaryota; Viridiplantae; Streptophyta; Magnoliopsida; Fabales; Fabaceae. The record is from RNAcentral.